Camelus dromedarius (Arabian camel) is the source of this 855-nucleotide long non-coding RNA. RefSeq lists it as uncharacterized. The record is from RefSeq and is a predicted model, not a curated record. The transcript is spliced from 7 exons. NCBI's taxonomy places the organism in Eukaryota, Metazoa, Chordata, Mammalia, Artiodactyla, Camelidae.
GUGACAGGUGUUUUCAGAGGGGUGGAGAGCAUCUGUACUCAUGGCUCACGGUUGCUAAUCAGAAAUAAUUGGUUGAUGUUACAGGGAGACGGACUUCAACUCAGUAUGAGGAAGAACUUUUAACAACUCUGUGACUGAACAUGGGGCACCGCGUCCUGGAAGCACUCUAAAUAUAUCAUCCCUUGCCUUCUGGCCUCCAAGGAUUCUUCUGAGAGAUGGGCUAAUGACUUUAUUGGACACAUCAUACACCAGCAGAUGAGCAGAAGAGGAGAAGCAGUUCCUCACAAAUGCGACGGUGUGAUGGGAGGACUCUCCAGGAUUAACAAUACCGUGAAGAUGAUCAGGUGACUAGGUCUCACCCUACCCACGGUACUUCCAAGAUGUCAAAAACGUGGUGGCCGUUAUUAUAAGCGGACAGGUGCAGUCUUAAUCAGGAAAAUUGUCAACAAGCCUGAUCAUCAUUUGAAUAAAGAUGGUUGAAUAGAGAGAACUCCAAGGACUUAGAGGAGGAUGGAGCCACAAUGUGGCAGGAGCCUGGGUUCCUGAAUCAGCAGUUGGAAAGGAGGCUCCCAGGAGAGGCAUCUGAAUGAGAACACACAUGAUGCUCUCUUAUGUGCAGGAAUCCUUCAUCUUUGGGUCCUUGGCUCGGAGCUCUGUGCCUGGAGCACAGUGGGAUCAUCAGAAUACCUGAUGGAUGAAUGGAGGAAAGACUGCUUGGAUAAACAGGGUCAGGCUGAAGCUGGGACCUGGCUUGGAACAGCAUACUUGUUUGGCUUCCUCCUCUCCCCUGGCCCGCUUCUCACAUGCCCCUCCUGCUUUCUCCAAAGAGCACGAAAAACAGAAACUAGGACAGCA